UACGGAGGGGGCUAGCGUUGUUCGGAAUUACUGGGCGUAAAGCGCACGUAGGCGGCUUUGCAAGUCAGAGGUGAAAGCCCGGGGCUCAACCCCGGAAUUGCCUUUGAGACUGCAUCGCUAGAAUUGUGGAGAGGUAAGUGGAAUUCCGAGUGUAGAGGUGAAAUUCGUAGAUAUUGGGAAGAACACCGGUGGCGAAGGCGGCGACCUGGUCCUUAACUGACGCUGAGGCGCGAAAGCGUGGGGAGCAAACAGG
RNAcentral lists this ribosomal RNA (253 nucleotides) under uncultured bacterium. Its description in RNAcentral is "partial 16S ribosomal RNA". It matches the Rfam family "Bacterial small subunit ribosomal RNA", at positions 524 to 776 of the family's 1533-position model. The record is from RNAcentral.